AAAGAGAAGAUGGGAUUGGACCAUCACAAUCGCACACCAUAGAAAACAAUGAGUAUUGGAGCAACCAGAAUGUGACCGGGAGUAAUUGUUUCACAGAUAAUUAUAUUGCACCUAGUUUUACCGAUUUGGUGACGGUAAGUGUGAUCUGAAAUUGUGUUCUGCUAGUACGUUCAAUAAUGCAGCUGUACAUUGUGAUGAAAUUACUUUUUGUAAUGCAGACUUCUAGAGUCGAAGACAUUGAAGCCCUUUGCCGUGACGACUUCUUUUGAUAAUUAAAGGAAGUGCUCUCUUCAUUUGGAUGCAGUGAAAAGUCCAUUUAGCAGUAGUUCUGUGAAAUGCACUCAUGUGAUGUGGCUUCUCAGUGUUAUGGUAUUUUGGGGAUUUAUAUAAGUAGUAAUAGUACUCUGUUGGUGCUUGAGUUUCAAUGCUCAAAAUUGCAAAAAUAUUUGAGUUUCAUUGCUAAAAAAUCCAGUACUUUGUUAAUACAAAUAGCAUGCUUGGAUGCUUCAGUGCUAAACAUUGCAGUAGCACUUCAGUUUCAGUUCUACAAAUUUCAGUACUCUGUUAGUAGAGUGCUUGGCUGAUUUAGG
Molecule: long non-coding RNA, 590 nt
Filed under: Triticum aestivum (bread wheat)
Lineage: Eukaryota; Viridiplantae; Streptophyta; Magnoliopsida; Poales; Poaceae
Description: long non-coding RNA (TAES_LNC021559)
Source: RNAcentral